ACAGAGUGAGACUCCGUCUCAAAAAAAAAAAAAAAAAAAAAAAAAGAAAUAACACUCUAUGUAAGGGUUACUGAAAGGAUUAAAUGAGGCCAUAUAAGCAUAUAAGCACAGUGCUUUGUGGAGGGGGUUCUGGGUAAAGCACUGGCUCCUUCCUCCCUUCUCAGCUACAGGGCAGGGCCUCGUCUGCCCUGGUGUAGGUCAUGGGCCGUCUUGGGUCCCCCUUCCAUUGUCAGGCUGUACUGGGUUCCUCCCACAGGGUCUGGCCUAGGAGCAGGAUGUGUUGUGAGUGUGGUGUGACUCAGUCUCUGCUUUCUAAGGACUUGAAAAAUAGAGGAACCCAGGUGGGCAUACUUGGACAAUGUUGCCCUGUUGACCACUUCUCGCUGAACUUGGGAAGGAGGGAAUGUUUUCUGGAUGGGAAGAAUCCAGUCAGGCCUCCUGGAGGGGGUGGUAAGAAUCUCAAGCCUUGAAGGAUGGGAAAGAGCACAAUAACAACAGUGACAAAGGAUAGAUCACAAAGCAUCAUGGACUCACCUGACUCAUGCUCCGUGCCAGGCUGAGGAAGUGUUUUCUGCUGGCAGUGAGAGAAGGAAGGGCAUUCUCCAGGUAGAAGGAGCUGUUUGUGCAGAAGCAUGAAGGCCGCUAAAAGGGGGCUGCUGAUAGCAAUGAGGAGGCUGGGGCUGGAGGCAGGGAAUCUGAGGAGGCCUAGUAAAUUGUCCAGACCUGAGAUGGGGCCAUGACUACCUGGAGCAGGACAGAGAGGAGAAUUCCAGAGAGGGCCCAAUUCCAGAGAUGUCAGAAGUAGACUCGACAUCCACUGUAUUAGGACUUGGCCAGGCCGAGGGAGAGAGAGUAGUCUGAGGCAAGCCUAGUUAUGGGUCUUGGACAUUGGGACCAAGGGUGAUGUUACCAGUAAAAUGAGCAACCCAGGAGGAGGCGCAGGUUUGCAGGGAGGAGUGUUGAGGUCCUUUCUGCACAUCUUGAGUCCGCUGUCCCUGUGGGAGGGACCUCUGGGGCAGUCCCAUGGGCAGGCAGGGUCUGGUGCUCAGGAAAGGGGUCCAGGCACAUCGGGGAGGUAGUAACAGUUCUUAUGGUGGGCCUGGAAGGCAAAUCUGUUAUUUCAUUUGAGUCUCACAACUUUGGCAGAGCUGGAUUGCCCCCCAUCGUGCAGCUGAAGCCCCAUCCUGAUCCUAACCCUGUUCAUCUGGCAAAAGGUCCAAACUUGGACAUCAGGGAUGUCUGGGAUAUCGGGGGUGGGGCGGGUGGGUGUGAGAGGAGUCUGGACCAGCCAGCUUCAGAACCAAGUCAGAUAGGUUAGCUAUUGUUGUGGUUAUUAUUGCCAUCCAGGAAUGAGGUCUGGUAGACGGCAGGGAAGCCUUGUGGGUCCUGACGGGAGGGACAGCCUGGUCACCACUUCUGUUCACCUCUGCCCACUUUUCUUUCCUGGCCCAGACUUAUGCAGAGAUGGACCCCACCACAGCAGCCUUGGAGAAGGAGCAUGAGGCGAUCACCAAGGUGAAGUAUGUGGACAAGAUCCACAUCGGGAACUACGAAAUUGAUGCCUGGUAUUUCUCACCAUUCCCCGAAGACUAUGGGAAACAGCCCAAGCUCUGGCUCUGCGAGUACUGCCUCAAGUACAUGAAAUAUGAGAAGAGCUACCGCUUCCACUUGGGUCAGUGCCAGUGGCGGCAGCCCCCCGGGAAAGAGAUCUACCGCAAGAGCAACAUCUCCGUGUACGAAGUUGAUGGCAAAGACCAUAAGAUUUACUGUCAGAACCUGUGUCUGCUGGCCAAGCUUUUCCUGGACCAUAAGACACUGUACUUUGACGUGGAGCCGUUCGUCUUUUACAUCCUGACUGAGGUGGACCGGCAGGGGGCCCACAUUGUUGGCUACUUCUCCAAGGAGAAGGAGUCCCCAGAUGGAAACAAUGUGGCCUGCAUCCUGACCUUGCCCCCCUACCAACGCCGCGGCUACGGGAAGUUCCUCAUCGCUUUCAGUUAUGAGCUCUCCAAGCUGGAGAGCACGGUCGGCUCCCCGGAGAAGCCGCUGUCUGACCUGGGCAAGCUCAGCUACCGCAGCUACUGGUCCUGGGUGCUGCUGGAGAUCCUGCGGGACUUCCGGGGCACACUGUCCAUCAAGGACCUCAGCCAGAUGACCAGUAUCACCCAAAAUGACAUCAUCAGUACCCUGCAAUCCCUCAAUAUGGUCAAGUACUGGAAGGGCCAGCACGUGAUCUGUGUCACACCCAAGCUGGUGGAGGAGCACCUCAAAAGUGCCCAGUAUAAGAAACCACCCAUCACAGUGGACUCCGUCUGCCUCAAGUGGGCACCCCCCAAGCACAAGCAAGUCAAGCUCUCCAAGAAGUGAGCAGCCUGGCCCCUGCUGUCGGACCUGAGCCUCCUGGCUCCCAGCCUGUAAAUAUGUACAGACCUGUUUUGUCAUUUUUUUAAUAAAGUCAGUUCUGCUGGUGGCCCUGGACUUUGGAGGGGAAGGGGAGGCCAAGA
This 2504-nucleotide small RNA is filed under the name Pan troglodytes (chimpanzee). RNAcentral describes it as "retained intron". Lineage: Eukaryota; Metazoa; Chordata; Mammalia; Primates; Hominidae. The record is from RNAcentral.